AUCUAAUUCAACUCCCCAUAGCGGCAGCACCCGUAGCCCAUCUCUUGUUGCCACACAUCCCAACCAGUCUCACCAGUUAUACAUGCUAAAUCUUUUUGUCUAAAGACUAUCAUCAUUAUCGUUAAUCUAGCCACAUUACUAACUAAAUUCAUACCAAUCUAUUUCUAGCUCUUUUAGCACAAACACCAGAGAUCAGCCAUUAUAUACUCUGAUGCUUAACUACAAUUGUGGGCACAUUGUAUAUACAGGUUCCUCUUUCCUUGUAUUUCUCCAUUCCAUUCCUAAACUGAAAUAUAUUCCAUAUCCCGAUAGCUCCUUGCUAGGCAGCAUUGCAUAAGGUCUCGCUUAUCCGCGACAUCAUUUCACCCUUUUGGAUCAUAUUUAAUGAAAAGUUAAGACAACGCCAUGGCAACAGCUCAGCUACACAG
Long non-coding RNA from Populus euphratica (Euphrates poplar), 428 nucleotides. RefSeq lists it as uncharacterized. NCBI's taxonomy places the organism in Eukaryota, Viridiplantae, Streptophyta, Magnoliopsida, Malpighiales, Salicaceae. The transcript is spliced from 2 exons. The record is from RefSeq and is a predicted model, not a curated record.